GGCCGGUUGGCUCAAUGGUAGAGCAUUCGCCUCCUAAAUCGGAUACGAGUCACAAAAGUGACAGCGAAAGGUUGUGGGUUCGAGUCCCAUGCUGGUCG
This is a transfer RNA of Macrophomina phaseolina MS6, 98 nucleotides long. It matches the Rfam family "tRNA". Rfam says of the family: Transfer RNA (tRNA) molecules are approximately 80 nucleotides in length. Their secondary structure includes four short double-helical elements and three loops (D, anti-codon, and T loops). Further hydrogen bonds mediate the characteristic L-shaped molecular structure. tRNAs have two regions of fundamental functional importance: the anti-codon, which is responsible for specific mRNA codon recognition, and the 3' end, to which the tRNAs corresponding amino acid is attached (by aminoacyl-tRNA synthetases). tRNAs cope with the degeneracy of the genetic code in two manners: having more than one tRNA (with a specific anti-codon) for a particular amino acid; and 'wobble' base-pairing, i.e. permitting non-standard base-pairing at the 3rd anti-codon position. The record is from Rfam. NCBI's taxonomy places the organism in Eukaryota, Fungi, Ascomycota, Dothideomycetes, Botryosphaeriales, Botryosphaeriaceae.